GACGAACGCUGGCGGCGUGCCUAAUACAUGCAAGUCGAACGCAGUGGGGACGGGUGAGUAACACGUGGGUAACCUCCCAUCAGAGGGGAUAACACUUGGAAACAGGUGCUAAACCGAUACUGAUGGAUGGACCCGCGGUGCAUUAGCUAGUUGUUGAGGUAACGGCUCACCAAGGCCACGAUGCAUAGCCGACCUGAGAGGGGGGUCGGCAACAAGGGGACUGAGAAACGGCCCAGACGCCUACGGGAGGCAGCAGUAGGGAAUCUGCGGAAAUGGAAGGAAGUCUGAACGAGCAACGCCGCGGGAGUGAAGAAGGUUUUCGGAUCGUAAAGCUCUGUUGUAAGAGAAGCGGUAUCUUACCAGAAAGGGACGGCUAACUACGUGCCAGCCGCCGCGGUAAUAC
This 403-nucleotide ribosomal RNA is filed under the name uncultured bacterium. RNAcentral's name for it is "partial 16S ribosomal RNA". It matches the Rfam family "Bacterial small subunit ribosomal RNA", at positions 28 to 526 of the family's 1533-position model. The record is from RNAcentral.